Molecule: long non-coding RNA, 971 nt
Organism: Ochotona princeps (American pika)
Lineage: Eukaryota; Metazoa; Chordata; Mammalia; Lagomorpha; Ochotonidae
Exons: 3
Source: RefSeq, a predicted model, not a curated record
AGACAAAGUUCGCUCAUAACGCAGAGCUGUGGGGCAAGGUGCUGUGUUCCAUGAAGCAUCACACGAUGGCUCCGAUAGCCCAAGUGCCCCAUGGGUAUACUAGUCCUUGCCUGUCCCAGGAUGGAGGAGAUGAGAGCUGUAGACUCCAAGACUUGACAGAACUAGAGUUGUUUUUUGCUGUUGUUGUUGUUUUGUUUUGUUUUUUAAAUGCAGAUUCUAUGCAGAGUUACUCGGAAGGCAGCAAGGGACCAAAAACCAGCUGAUACUCCUGGUCUCUGUACAUUGGCUGGGCAUGGUGCUGGUUUAUUUCUCCAAACCUUGCUUCUCUAUUGCCCUGGACCCUGUGAGGCAGGAUUACACAGAGAGAUCUUCCAUCUGCUAGUUCACUUCCCCAAUGAUUACAACAGUCAUGGAAGAAGCCAGGAUCUUGAAACUCCUUCUGACUCUCCCACUCGAGUAGCAGAGGCCCGAUCUCUUGGAUUGUACUCUGCUGGUUUCCCAGGCACUUUAGCAGCAAGUUAUAUGGCGCCAGCAUUGUGACCUGUGCUGACUACCUACUCUGCUCCUGCAUAUUGCCUGAGUGCAGCAGGUGCUGUUAGCACAAGAAGCUUCCUGGCUCUGCAGGGAACUCACCUCUGCCUAAAACACAUACAAUACAGACCACCUCCUCUGUGCAGAGAUAGCCUUGUUGCUGCCAACCCUCAGCAGCAGACCCCCAGAACAGGUACCCGGAAUGCCAAAAGUGAUGCUCGCAUGUUGUGCCACUGCCUUCAGGCCUGAUGUGAGCCUUCUGCAGUCCUCAGGCUUUCAAAAUGCUAAAUAUACAGCAUUAAUGGGAUCUUGCUGGCAUCUCUGGUGAAUAACUAAAGACACCUUUAUGUUGAAAUGCAGAUUUUCCAUUGAAAAGCAAAUUUUUCAUUGCAGGCAUUUGCAGAAACCUGGGUUUGUAUUUAUAAAAUAAGUUACAUAGU